RNAcentral lists this ribosomal RNA (254 nucleotides) under uncultured bacterium. RNAcentral describes it as "partial 16S ribosomal RNA". It matches the Rfam family "Bacterial small subunit ribosomal RNA", at positions 524 to 777 of the family's 1533-position model. The record is from RNAcentral.
GACGAACCGUGCGAACGUUAUUCGGAAUCACUGGGCUUAAAGGGCGCGUAGGCGGGUCGGUAAGUCAGGGGUGAAAUCCCACGGCCCAACCGUGGAAGUGCCUCUGAUACUGCCGGCCUCGAGGGGGAUAGGGGCGUGCGGAACUCAGGGUGGAGCGGUGAAAUGCGUAGAUAUCCUGAGGAACACCGGUGGCGAAAGCGGCGCGCUGGAUCCCUUCUGACGCUGAGGCGCGAAAGCCAGGGGAGCAAACGGGG